GAUGACCUUUGGCGGCGUGCCUAAUACAUGCAAGUCGAACGCUUCACUUCGGUGAAGAGUGGCGAACGGGUGAGUAAUACAUAAGUAACCUGGCAUCUACAGGGGGAUAACUGAUGGAAACGUCAGCUAAGACCGCAUAGGUGUAGAGACCGCAUGAACUCUAUAUGAAAAGUGCUACGGGACUGGUAGAUGAUGGACUUAUGGCGCAUUAGCUGGUUGGUAGGGUAACGGCCUACCAAGGCGACGAUGCGUAGCCGACCUGAGAGGGUGACCGGCCACACUGGGACUGAGACACGGCCCACACUCCUACGGGAGGCAGCAGUAGGGAAUUUUCGGCAAUGGGGGAAACCCUGACCGAGCAACGCCGCGUGAAGGAAGAAGUAAUUCGUUAUGUAAACUUCUGUCAUAGAGGAAGAACGGUGGAUAUAGGGAAUGAUAUCCAAGUGACGGUACUCUAUAAGAAAGCCACGGCUAACUACGUGCCAGCAGCCGCGGUAAUACGUAGGUGGCGAGCGUUAUCCGGAAUUAUUGGGCGUAAAGAGGGAGCAGGCGGCACUAAGGCUCUGUGGAGAAAGAUCGAAAGCUUAUCUUCGGUAAGCCCUGGAAACCGUAGAGCUAGAGUGUGUGAAAGGAUCGUGGAAUUCCAUGUGUAGCGGUGAAAUGCAUAAAAAUUUGGAGGAACACCGGUGGCGGGGCGNGCGUUCUGGCGCAUAACUGACGCUCAGUCCCGAAAGCGUGGGGCGCAAAUAGGAUUAGAUACCCUAGUAGUCCACGCCGUCNCCCCACAAAAAGGUAGAGUGUUGGGUGUCAAAGCUCAGUGCUGCAGUUAACGCAAUAAGUACUCCGCCUGAGUAGUACGUUCGCAAGAAUGAAACUCAAAGGAAUUGACGGGGGCCCGCACAAGCGGUGGAGCAUGUGGUUUAAUUCGAAGCAACGCGAAGAACCUUACCAGGUCUUGACAUCGAUCUAAAGGCUCCAGAGAUGGAGAGAUAGCUAUAGAGAAGACAGGUGGUGCAUGGUUGUCGUCAGCUCGUGUCGUGAGAUGUUGGGUUAAGUCCCGCAACGAGCGCAACCCCUGUUGCCAGUUGCCAGCAUUAAGUUGGGGACUCUGGCGAGACUGCCGGUGACAAGCCGGAGGAAGGCGGGGAUGACGUCAAAUCAUCAUGCCCCUUAUGACCUGGGCUACACACGUGCUACAAUGGACAGAGCAGAGGGAAGCGAAGCCGCGAGGUGGAGCGAAACCCAUAAAACUGUUCUCAGUUCGGACUGCAGUCUGCAACUCGACUGCACGAAGAUGGAAUCGCUAGUAAUCGCGAAUCAGCAUGUCGCGGUGAAUACGUUCUCGGGCCUUGCACU
Molecule: ribosomal RNA, 1356 nt
Filed under: uncultured bacterium
Lineage: Bacteria
Description: bacterial SSU rRNA
Rfam family: Bacterial small subunit ribosomal RNA
Source: RNAcentral